RNAcentral lists this ribosomal RNA (207 nucleotides) under Triticum aestivum (bread wheat). Its description in RNAcentral is "partial small subunit ribosomal RNA". It matches the Rfam family "Bacterial large subunit ribosomal RNA", at positions 2059 to 2264 of the family's 2925-position model. The record is from RNAcentral. Lineage: Eukaryota; Viridiplantae; Streptophyta; Magnoliopsida; Poales; Poaceae.
AUGCGGACUACCUGCACCUGGACAGAAAGACCCUAUGAAGCUUUACUGUUCCCUGGGAUUGGCUUUGGGCCUUUCCUGUGCAGCUUAGGUGGAAGGCGAAGGAGGCCCCUUUCAGGGGGGGCCGAGCCAUCAGUGAGAUACCACUCUGAAAGAGCUCGGAUUCUAACCUUGUGUCAGACCCGCGGGCCAAGGGACAGUCUCAAGUAG